RNAcentral lists this ribosomal RNA (464 nucleotides) under uncultured bacterium. RNAcentral's name for it is "partial 16S ribosomal RNA". It matches the Rfam family "Bacterial small subunit ribosomal RNA", at positions 30 to 507 of the family's 1533-position model. The record is from RNAcentral.
CGAACGCUGGCGGCGUGCUUACCACAUGCAAGUCGACCGGAAAGGCCCUGCUUGCAGGGUACUCGAGUGGCGAACGGGUGAGUAACACGUGGGUGAUCUGCCCUGCACUUCGGGAUAAGCUUGGGAAACUGGGUCUAAUACCGGAUAGGAGCCAUCUUUAGUGUGGUGGUUGGAAAGUUUUUUCGGUGUAGGAUGAGCUCGCGGCCUAUCAGCUUGUUGGUGGGGUAAUGGCCUACCAAGGCGGCGACGGGUAGCCGGCCUGAGAGGGUGUACGGCCACAUUGGGACUGAGAUACGGCCCAGACUCCUACGGGAGGCAGCAGUGGGGAAUAUUGCACAAUGGGCGCAAGCCUGAUGCAGCGACGCCGCGUGGGGGAUGAAGGCCUUCGGGUUGUAAACUCCUUUCGCUAGGGACGAAGCUUUUUUGUGACGGUACCUAGAUAAGAAGCACCGGCUAACUACGUG